This 87-nucleotide microRNA precursor is filed under the name Homo sapiens (human). RNAcentral's name for it is "miTC12_pre". The record is from RNAcentral. Lineage: Eukaryota; Metazoa; Chordata; Mammalia; Primates; Hominidae.
UGGUGACGCCUGGAAUCAGGCAGGCGUAGCUGGACUGGGCUCUUGGGCCAGCCAGGCGCCACUGCCAUUGUCUACGGCCAUACCACC